AUGUGGAAGGCUGUUAUCUAGUAGGAGGCGCGGCCCAAUGCAUUUGGAGGCCUAGGACGAACUCACUAAAUGAAAUCUUUUUUUAAAUAAUAAUAAUAAUAAUAAUAAAUUUUUAAUAAGUAUAAAAUAGUUUAAAAAUUUAUUUAAAAAUAAUCCGUCUAGCUUUUUGAGAUACAAAAUUAUAAAAGAAAAAAAUAGAAGAGAAAAAUUGUAACAAAAUUAUAGAAAUUGUACCAAAUUAAUGGGAAUUAAACGCUGGAUGUUGAAAAUAUAAUCAAACAACAAAGGAAAAUUAGAAGAAUCACACCGUAUGUCGUGCCACUAACUCACUGUCACUGUAUCACAGACUGACAG
RNAcentral lists this long non-coding RNA (354 nucleotides) under Phoenix dactylifera (date palm). RNAcentral's name for it is "long non-coding RNA (PDAC_LNC003971)". Lineage: Eukaryota; Viridiplantae; Streptophyta; Magnoliopsida; Arecales; Arecaceae. The record is from RNAcentral.